CGCACGGGUGAGUAACACGUAUCCAACCUGCCGUCUACUCUUGGACAGCCUUCUGAAAGGAAGAUUAAUACAAGAUGGCAUCAUGAGUCCGCAUGUUCACAUGAUUAAAGGUAUUCCGGUAGACGAUGGGGAUACGUUCCAUUAGAUAGUAGGCGGGGUAACGGCCCACCUAGUCUUCGAUGGAUAGGGGUUCUGAGAGGAAGGUCCCCCACAUUGGAACUGAGACACGGUCCAA
RNAcentral lists this ribosomal RNA (235 nucleotides) under uncultured bacterium. Its description in RNAcentral is "partial 16S ribosomal RNA". It matches the Rfam family "Bacterial small subunit ribosomal RNA", at positions 99 to 334 of the family's 1533-position model. The record is from RNAcentral.